RNAcentral lists this ribosomal RNA (453 nucleotides) under uncultured bacterium. RNAcentral's name for it is "partial 16S ribosomal RNA". It matches the Rfam family "Bacterial small subunit ribosomal RNA", at positions 29 to 507 of the family's 1533-position model. The record is from RNAcentral.
AUGAACGCUGACAGAAUGCUUAACACAUGCAAGUCAACUUGAACUUCGGUUUGGGUGGCGGACGGGUGAGUAACGCGUAAAGAACUUGCCUCACAGCUAGGGACAACAUUUGGAAACGAAUGCUAAUACCUGAUAUUAUGAUUUUAGGGCAUCCUAGAAUUAUGAAAGCUAUAUGCGCUGUGAGAGAGCUUUGCGUCCCAUUAGCUAGUUGGAGAGGUAACGGCUCACCAAGGCGAUGAUGGGUAGCCGGCCUGAGAGGGUGAACGGCCACAAGGGGACUGAGACACGGCCCUUACGCCUACGGGAGGCAGCAGUGGGGAAUAUUGGACAAUGGACCAAGAGUCUGAUCCAGCAAUUCUGUGUGCACGAUGAAGUUUUUCGGAAUGUAAAGUGCUUUCAGUUUGGAAGAAAAAAAUGACGGUACCAACAGAAGAAGGGACGGCUAAAUACGUG